Molecule: non-coding RNA, 31 nt
Filed under: Rattus norvegicus (Norway rat)
Lineage: Eukaryota; Metazoa; Chordata; Mammalia; Rodentia; Muridae
Source: RNAcentral
UGAUUGUAGACCCUUUCCAGUUGACAUUCAA